This 730-nucleotide ribosomal RNA is filed under the name uncultured marine bacterium. RNAcentral's name for it is "bacterial SSU rRNA". It matches the Rfam family "Bacterial small subunit ribosomal RNA", at positions 62 to 840 of the family's 1533-position model. The record is from RNAcentral.
UCGAACGAAGUAGCAAUACUUAGGGGCGAACGGGUGAGUAAUAUGUGGGAAUCUACCUUUCGGUCCGGAAUAACAUGAGGAAACUUGUGCUAAUACCGGAUAAGCCUUUACAGGGAAAGCUUUAUGCUCCGAUUGAUGAGUCCACACUUGAUUAGUUAGUUGGUGAGGUAAUGGCUCACCAAGACAAUGAUCAAUAGCUGAUUUGAGAGGAUGAUCAGCCACAUUGGGACUGAGACACGGCCCAAACUCAUACGGGAGGCAGCAGUGGGGAAUCUUGCACAAUGGGGGAAACCCUGAUGCAGCGAUGCCGCGUGAGUGAAGAAGGCCCUUGGGUUGUAAAGCUCUUUCGUCGGGGAAGAAAAUGACUGUACCCGAAUAAGAAGGUCCGGCUAACUUCGUGCCAGCAGCCGCGGUAAUACGAAGGGACCUAGCGUAGUUCGGAAUUACUGGGCUUAAAGAGCACGUAGGUGGUUAAAAAAGUUGGUGGUGAAAUCCCAGAGCUUAACUCUGGAACUGCCAUCAAAACUCUUUAGCUAGAGUAUGAUAGAGGAAAGUAGAAUUUCUAGUGUAGAGGUGAAAUUCGUAGAUAUUAGAAAGAAUACCAAUUGCGAAGGCAGCUUUCUGGAUCAUUACUGACACUGAGGUGCGAAAGCAUGGGUAGCGAAGAGGAUUAGAUACCCUCGUAAUCCAUGCCGUAAACGAUGUGUGCUAGACGUUGGAAAUUUAUUUU